Molecule: unclassified non-coding RNA, 302 nt
Organism: Cavia porcellus (domestic guinea pig)
Lineage: Eukaryota; Metazoa; Chordata; Mammalia; Rodentia; Caviidae
Gene: 7SK
Rfam family: 7SK RNA
About the family: 7SK was discovered as an abundant small nuclear RNA in the mid-70s but a possible function has only recently been suggested. Two independent studies have found that 7SK RNA binds the CDK9/cyclin T complex (known as elongation factor P-TEFb).
Source: Ensembl
GGAUAUAAAGAUGAUCUGUCUGUGACAUGUCACCCAUGGAUCACCAGGGGAUCUAGCCAGCUAGGGGAAUGUCCUCCUCUUCCCUCACCGCUCCACGUGUUUCCCUCCCGAAGCUGCUGCAAGCUCAGUGGAAGAGGGCGACCACCCUUGAGAGCGGAGGACAUUUCCUUGCUCAAGGGUAUAUGAGAAGCUGCAUUCCCCUACUAGAACCUCCAAACAAGCUUUAUAAGUCCUAGGAGUUUUUACAUACAAUAUUCAUCCAUUCUACAAAUAUGUGAGCUCUGGGGCAGUCAGCACAUUGU